GCAGAGAAGGCGUUGGGUUAGAUGAGGAGGCUGUCCAGUGAUGGGAUUGGCCUAAUGUGAAGAUUCUCCUAGAGAGCUCGAUGAUUCCAGCCAGCGUCGGUCUCCUGCCUUCUCAGUUUUCUAGACGAGAGAGGAGCAGAGGGAACCAAGAGCAGCAUUCCAGGAUUGAGGAGAGGCCAGACCCCAUCUCUUCCUCAUGCUGUUGAGAGAUAGAAGGCACCUCCUUCCCCUGGGGGCACCAGUCAGGCUGUUUUGCAAAAGUGAAAACUGAUAGUUGCUGAGUGCAUCCUCUUCUUCCUGGCCCUCCGAGCAAGUAAAUAAGAAGAAAGUAUGAGUUUCCGGGACCAGAUGCUAUGACCAAGGGCGCGGCUGCCCAAGAUUUGAUGUGGACGGUCCUGAGUUCGAAUCCCAGCACCUGCAUGG
This is a long non-coding RNA of Mus caroli (Ryukyu mouse), 423 nucleotides long. RefSeq lists it as uncharacterized. Lineage: Eukaryota; Metazoa; Chordata; Mammalia; Rodentia; Muridae. The record is from RefSeq and is a predicted model, not a curated record.